UACGGGGGGGGUAAGCGUUGUUCGGAAUUACUGGGCGUAAAGGGCUCGUAGGCGGCCAACUAAGUCAUACGUGAAAUCCCUCAGCUUAACUGGGGAACUGCGUGUGAUACUGGAUGGCUUGGAUUUGGGAGAGGGAUGCGGAAUUCCAGGUGUAGCGGUGAAAUGCGUAGAUAUCAGAAGGAACAUCAGUGGCGAAAGCGGCUUCCUGGACCAGAACUGACGAUCAGGCACGAAAGCGUGGGGAGCAAACAGG
Molecule: ribosomal RNA, 253 nt
Filed under: uncultured bacterium
Lineage: Bacteria
Description: partial 16S ribosomal RNA
Rfam family: Bacterial small subunit ribosomal RNA
Source: RNAcentral